RNA transcript from Rhineura floridana, 3357 nucleotides. RefSeq lists it as uncharacterized. The transcript is spliced from 4 exons. Lineage: Eukaryota; Metazoa; Chordata; Lepidosauria; Squamata; Rhineuridae. The record is from RefSeq and is a predicted model, not a curated record.
CGAGCCAUGACGGCUCAAAUAGUCGCUCGUCGCACCCUCUGGCUUCGCCACUGGCAAGCUGAUUCAGCGGCCAGAUUGAAUCUGUCCAGGGCUCCUUACUCCGGAUCUCUACUCUUCGGCGAGGAAGCUCUAAAGGCAGUGCUGGUUGAUCCAAAAGACGCCCACAAACCGGUUCUGGCCACAGUCAAGAACAGCGACCACAGACCUUUCAGGCGAUUCCCUUCCUUCCAUUCUAACCAGCCCUUUCGAGGAACGCGGCCAGGAGGACGAGGCCGCGACUUCAGACCCUAUGACCCCAACGCAUUCAGGGGCUCCUGGAACCGACGCUUCCAGGGCAGAGGUCAGUACCAAGGGCGCAGGGGCAACUCAUCGUCCUCAUAUAAGGGAGGCCCUCGCCUACGCAAGUAGUCUUAACGCCCUCCCCAUAGGUGGCAGAUUACUUAAUUUUGGAGGUCGAUGGCUGCGCCUUACUAAGGUCUCCUGGAUCAGGGACCUUUUCAGUUAUGGUUAUACCAUAGAGUUCUGGGCAACCCCAUCAGACAGAUUCCACCCGUCUCCUUGCCCAAGGGCACCAGCCAGGCACAACAUUAUGCAGACAGCUAUACACCACCUCUUGGACAUAGCGGCGAUAGAGCCAGUUCCCACAACUGAGAGGUCAGAAGGGGUGUCCUCCCUCCUAUUUGCUGUGCCAAAACGAGAUUUAUCAUGGAGGGCGGUAUUGGACCUCAAGUUUGUCAACCGUUUUGUAACAUAUCACAGGUUCAAAAUGGAAUCACUCCACUCCAUUACAGAGAGUCUGCAUGAAGGAGACUUCCUGGCUUCUAUCGACCUUAAGGAAGCGUAUCUCCAUGUGCCCAUUUGCAUAGCCCACAGAAAGUUUCUUCGGUUUGCUUUUGGCCACCAGCAUUUUCAAUAUAGAGCGAUGCCAUUCGGCCUCUCCUCUGCUCCAAGAGUGUUUACCAAGGUGCUACUCAUCCUAGUGGCUUACCUCCGGACCCAAGGGGUUCAUACCUACCCAUAUUUGGAUGAUUUGCUAAUACGGGCCAAGUCGGAGGAACUGGCUCAUCAUCACCCUCAAUGUUUUGCAGGCCUACGGCUGGCUUGUCAACUUCGACAAAAGUCAUCUCCAACCAACCCAACGCCUACUACAUCUAGGGGCAAUGUUGGACACCCUGCAGGCAAUGGUCUUCUUGGCUCCAGAUCGCAUCACUGCCAUCACAAGCAUCGCAAGGUCCCUGAUGCAACAAACAUCCGCAGACGUCAUGCUUCUCGCCAGAGCGCUCGGGAUGUUUAUAUCUACAAUCCACAUUGUGCCAUGGGCUCGAGCCCACACUCGGCCCCUUCAAUGGAUUCUGUUGCCUUUUCAAAAAGACAUUGCCAGCUCCAACCAUCGCAAAGUUCGCUUGAGCCCCGCACUGCGCCUCUCCUUCGGCUGGUGGACCAAGGUUCAACACCUCUUCAAGGGCACGUCGUUCAGAGAACCCCGCAGAACCGUUGUAACCACAGAUGCCAGCCUCAUAGGUUGGGGAGCCCACUGCAACUCCCAGUACGUUCAGGGGGUUUGGUCCAACACAGAGCAAUCCCAAAGCAUCAACUGGCUGGAACUAAAGGCUGUCCACUUAGCUCUAUGUCAUUUUCAGUCUCUGUUCCCUUUGCAUCAUGUGCUCAUUCGAACAGACAACACGUGUGUAAAAUCACAUUUGAACAGACAGGGGGGCACCAGGUCUCGUCCUCUGCAGGACUUAGCCUCCCUCAUCUUUGUCUGGGCAGAACAACAUCUACAAUCCCUGAAAGCAGAGCACCUCAGAGGGAUUUGGAAUGUGACAGCAGACUGGCUCAGCAGACAACAGGUCUUUCCGGGAGAAUGGAAACUUCAUCCAGCCAUUUUCCAUCGUCUCCAGUGUCGGUUCGGCGCCCUAUCAGUCGACCUGUUUGCCUCCAGUUGCAAUUGCCAGCUUCCCAGGUACUUUGCCCGAUACCUGGACUCAACAGCAGAAGCAGUGGAUGCUCUGACAACACCGUGGCCAGACGGUCUAUUGUACGCCUUUCCUCCCAUACCAUUGUUAGCCAAAACCUUGAGGAAGGCGCGAACCGAAAGGGCACAGCUGGUUCUGAUAGCACCAUUUUGGCCACGCCGACCGUGGUUCUCAGAUCUUCUGGCAAUGUCAAUGAUGGAUCCUUGGACACUUCCAGUAAGGCCAGACCUUCUAUCCCAGGGUCCAGUACUGCACCAGGACCCUACUUGGUUCAAUCUAACAGCGUGGCGUUUGAACGGGGACAUUUGAGGUUAGCUGGACUGUCUGACGCUGUGAUUGAUAUUAUUUUGGCCUCGAGAAGACCAUCUACCACCCGUAUUUAUCAACAUACCUGGGUGGCUUUCUCCAAGUGGUGUCAGUCCCACCACCAUGAUCCAUCCCAGGCCACUGUGCAUCAGGUGCUCCAAUUUCUCCAUAGCGGCUUUAUGAUGGGACUUCGACCCAACACUCUACGUCGACAUGCGUCCACUCUGUCGUCCAUUCUCUCAGUGUCCUCUCCUGGAGAUCAUAUUUCCUCACAUCCGUUCAUCAAACGUUUUUUGAGGGGAGUCGCCCUACGCUCUCCGGCUGUUGUCCAUCGGUUUCCCUCAUGGAGUUUGCCGAAGGUUCUGCAGGCUUUGCAACGCCCUCCGUUUGAACCCAUCAGGACUGUGCCUCUUCGUAUACUGUCCUUCAAGGUCUUGUUCCUGAUCGCAAUCACAUCUGCUAGACGAGUUUUGGAGUUGGGCGCAUUGUCUUCCGCUCGCCAUCUCUGCGUCUUCCAUAAGGACUCUGUUGUACUGGAAACUGAUCCUUCCUUCCGUCCCAAGGUUGAUUGUGUUCCAUUGCAACCAGGACAUUGUUUUGCCUUCCUUUUGCCUGAAUCCUACCCAUCCUCUCGAGAAGGCUUGGCAUUCGUUGGAUGUCCGGAGGGCUCUCAAGACCUACCUGUCUAGGACCCAGGAUAUACGACGAACUGAGUCUCUGCCUGUUGGCCUUGUUCUUGUAUUUUUAGAUAUCUCCCCUUAGACUCGCUGCGAAUGAACUGGAGAGUGGGAGGGGCCUGACGCCCCUAGUCUUGACUUCAAAGACAUUCUUGCCUUUGCACGAUACGUGGAGCUAAAACCCGUUGUGAUGUCCAUCCUCAUAGGAAAAUCACCCUUCAGUUUAUCUACCCACUUGGAGAGGGUUAUAGGUGUUUACUAACAGAUGUACAAUGAAGAUCUCAAUAUUAUGGAUUUGCUAGAGGAAGCACUGGAGUGACCUUGGAUGAAUUCCAUAGUACACAUAUCACAGUAAUUUCUGUCAGACAGAGUCUGAGACAACCCCAGCUACAUACAGG